AUUGAACGCUGGCGGCAGGCCUAACACAUGCAAGUCGAACGGUAACAGGGAUCAGCUUGCUGAUUCGCUGACGAGUGGCGGACGGGUGAGUAAUGUCUGGGAAACUGCCUGAUGGAGGGGGAUAACUACUGGAAACGGUAGCUAAUACCGCAUAACGUCGCAAGACCAAAGAGGGGGACCUUCGGGCCUCUUGCCAUCGGAUGUGCCCAGAUGGGAUUAGCUAGUAGGUGGGGUAACGGCUCACCUAGGCGACGAUCCCUAGCUGGUCUGAGAGGAUGACCAGCCACACUGGAACUGAGACACGGUCCAGACUCCUACGGGAGGCAGCAGUGGGGAAUAUUGCACAAUGGGCGCAAGCCUGAUGCAGCCAUGCCGCGUGUAUGAAGAAGGCCUUCGGGUUGUAAAGUACUUUCAGCGGGGAGGAAGGGAGUAAAGUUAAUACCUUUGCUCAUUGACGUUACCCGCAGAAGAAGCACGGGCUAACUCCGUG
This 490-nucleotide ribosomal RNA is filed under the name uncultured bacterium. RNAcentral describes it as "partial 16S ribosomal RNA". It matches the Rfam family "Bacterial small subunit ribosomal RNA", at positions 30 to 507 of the family's 1533-position model. The record is from RNAcentral.